This 66-nucleotide transfer RNA is filed under the name Leptonycteris yerbabuenae (Lesser long-nosed bat). RNAcentral's name for it is "tRNA-Tyr". It matches the Rfam family "tRNA". From Rfam's summary of the family: Transfer RNA (tRNA) molecules are approximately 80 nucleotides in length. Their secondary structure includes four short double-helical elements and three loops (D, anti-codon, and T loops). Lineage: Eukaryota; Metazoa; Chordata; Mammalia; Chiroptera; Phyllostomidae. The record is from RNAcentral.
GGUAAUAUGGCCGAGCAGGUAUUAGACUGUAAAUCUAAGGACAGAGGUCAAGUCCUCUUAUUACCA